Molecule: vault RNA, 102 nt
Organism: Oncorhynchus kisutch (coho salmon)
Lineage: Eukaryota; Metazoa; Chordata; Actinopteri; Salmoniformes; Salmonidae
Gene: Vault
Rfam family: Vault RNA
About the family: This family of RNAs are found as part of the enigmatic vault ribonucleoprotein complex.
Source: Ensembl
GCGCUGGUGUAGCUCAGUGGUUACUUCAAAAAUUUUCUCUAUCAGAAAUGUUCUGUACCUCUGCAAAGGGGUUCGAAACCACGGGCGCUGUCCAGUGUUUUG